GAUGAAGAACGUAGCGAAAUGCGAUAAGUAGUGUGAAUUGCAGAAUUCAGUGAAUCAUCGAAUCUUUGAACGCACAUUGCGCCCCUUGGUAUUCCAUGGGGCAUGCCUGUUCGAGCGUCAUUUGAACCCUCAAGCUCUGCUUGGUGUUGGGUGUUUGUCCCGCCAUUGCGCGUGGACUCGCCUUAAAGCAAUUGGCAGCCAUGUAAUCCGGCUUUGAGCGCAGCACAUUGCGUACUCUCUACUGGGACAUGGGCAUCCAGAAGCCUUAUUUUUUUACUCUUGACCUCGGAUCAGGUAGGGAUACCCGCUGAACUUAAGCAUAUCAAUAAGCGGAGGA
Molecule: unclassified non-coding RNA, 337 nt
Filed under: soil metagenome
Description: partial contains 5.8S ribosomal RNA, internal transcribed spacer 2, and large subunit ribosomal RNA
Rfam family: 5.8S ribosomal RNA (bases 1-120)
Source: RNAcentral